This 209-nucleotide long non-coding RNA is filed under the name Panax ginseng (ginseng). Its description in RNAcentral is "long non-coding RNA (PGIN_LNC002587)". The record is from RNAcentral. Lineage: Eukaryota; Viridiplantae; Streptophyta; Magnoliopsida; Apiales; Araliaceae.
AAGACUGCGUCGUCGUACGAAUAUUCCCAACAGAAAGAAUAUUCCACGACCCAACGAAUAUUCCCCGACAACAAUGAAUAUUUUAUAACCACUUGCGUAUUUUUAAAAAAUUUCAUAUAUCACCCUUAACUUUAACUUUUUAUCAAUUUAACCAUUUACUGAAUUGUAAUUAUAAGAAAAUUGAAUACUUUUAUUUCAUAAAAUUCGGG